CUCUGUCCUGUUCCCCCUCCUUUAGUAUUAGACUGUGGCUAUCACUAAGCCCCUAUUAAAGACAGAGGUAGAUAAGCCUUGGGGAAAAUGUGAGACAACAACCACCCUACCCUGUUGUCUGAGAACAGGGAGAGGUGGAAGGAGGAGGUUUCCCUUUGCAAAGAAUUUAUAAACACUGAGGAAAGGAACAGUUUGCUUUAAAGUGAUCAACACCUUGACACUGUCUUCUGCAAAACCAACCAGCCAUCCUCCCAAAAGCAAAAGCUUCAUUUACAGAGAAACCAAUAAAUGUUCAUGGGAGAUGACUGCAUGAAGAAAAUGUAUUUGCAGUGAUUAUACAAGGAGAAAUGGUGAGUAUUUAGCUUUUAUUGCCAUGAAAUGUCCAUGUAAGCUAUAGCACAUUAGUCUUAAUAAAUACAGUGACCAAAAGAUGUUCAGUUCAUCUAAAAGCAUGUUAACAAAUGGCUUGAUCUUAGUGUAGAAUCACCUACAGAAGUGCUACGUAAAUGACUCUGAUAGCAUGUAGCUCCUUAGUCGGUGAGAAAAAAGUAAAACUAGAUCCAAUGGGUGACUGAUGAAACUAGAUUAAUUCAGAUUAAAAUUAUGUUUUAAAUUCUUGAGAAAAAUAUACCUAGUCUUCAUUUCUUGCGGUCUUCAAAUAAAGACUGGAUACUGUAAACUAUGCAUAUUUCUAGUCUUGACAUAAAAUAAAUGAGAGAGGUUCUAUGUGGGAGGCCUAAUGAAAAUUGCCCUAGAACUGUCUUAAAAUAUUACUAUUUUGUUUUCAAAAGGUUUUAAGAAACAGUGGAUACAGUAUAUAACAAGCUAUCAUUAACACUGACUGUUGACUAUGUGGAACGCCAGUACAUGUCCAUUCCCUCUGCAAAUGGCACUGAUACCUUGAUUAUGUCAAGUCUCC
This is a long non-coding RNA of Aquila chrysaetos chrysaetos, 919 nucleotides long. RefSeq lists it as uncharacterized. The record is from RefSeq and is a predicted model, not a curated record. NCBI's taxonomy places the organism in Eukaryota, Metazoa, Chordata, Aves, Accipitriformes, Accipitridae. The transcript has 3 exons.